Molecule: transfer RNA, 98 nt
Filed under: Candidatus Eiseniibacteriota bacterium
Lineage: Bacteria; Candidatus Eiseniibacteriota
Description: tRNA-Sec
Rfam family: Selenocysteine transfer RNA
Source: RNAcentral
GGGAAUGCAUGGGUCCUGGUGGGCUCCAGGGACUUCAAAUCCCUUGUCGGGCACCCCACGGUGUCCGAGGUGGGUUCGAUUCCCACGCGUUCCCGCCA